Molecule: ribosomal RNA, 1677 nt
Filed under: Chasmodes bosquianus (striped blenny)
Lineage: Eukaryota; Metazoa; Chordata; Actinopteri; Blenniiformes; Blenniidae
Description: 16S ribosomal RNA
Rfam family: Bacterial large subunit ribosomal RNA (bases 106-1566)
Source: RNAcentral
AGCCCAAUAGCUAGCCCACAUAUAAAUCUCAUAAAGUAUAACCAUGCAUAAACCCACACCCCACAAGAUUUUUUUACUAAAGCAUUAAACCACUAAAGUACAGGCGAUAGAAAUAGAAAAUGGAGCAACAGAGAAAGUACCGCAAGGGAAAGCUGAAAGAGAAAUGAAAUAACUCAGUCAAGCACAACAAAGCAAAGAUUACUUCUUGUACCUUUUGCAUCAUGGUCUAGCCAGUCCCCCCAAGCAAGAAGAAUCGUAGUCUGGCACCCCGAACCCUGGUGAGCUACUCCAAGACCGUCUAUACAACUAGGACUAACCCGUCUCUGUGGCAAAAGAGUGGGAAGAGCUUUGAGUAGAGGUGAUAAGCCUACCGAACUGGGUGAUAGCUGGUUGUCUAAGAAAUGGAUAGAAGUUCAGCCCUUAUUAUUCUUCAACCACACCAUGAAUUAUAGGUAUAAGAAAUUUAAGGAGUUAGACUAAAGGGGUACAGCCCUUUGGUCUUAAGAAACAACUUUGAAAGGUGGAUAAGGCCUAUAUUAAAAUCUAAGGAAGAGCACUAUAGUGGGCCUAAAAGCAGCCAUCUAAUUAAAAAGCGUUAAAGCUUAAGUGCAGAUAAAAUUCCCCAAUUCCAGUACAUACUCCAACUCCCCCUAAAACAUUAGACCACUUUAUGUCCACAUAAAGGUGUUUAUGCUAGUAUGAGUAAUAAGAGGAAGCACCUCUCCUGGCACAAGUGUAAGUCAGAACGAACUACUCACUGAUUUAUAACGGCCCCAACAAAGAGGAGAGUGCUCUAAAUAAAAAUUACUAGAAAACCACGCAAGUAUUUACCGUUAAUCUUACACAAGAGUGCACAAAGGGAAAGACUAAAAGGGGGGGAAGGAACUCGGCAAACUCUACUAGCCUCGCCUGUUUACCAAAAACACCGCCUUCUGAUAAACACACAUAGAAGGUCCCGCCUGCCCUGUGAUAUUAAAUUUAACGGCCGCGGUAUUUUGACCGUGCAAAGGUAGCGAAAUCACUUGUCUUUUAAAUGAAGACCUGUAUGAAUGGCAUAACGAGGGCUUAACUGUCUCCCUCCCCCAGUCAAUGAAAUUGAUCUGCCCGUGCAGAAGCGGACAUAACGCCAUAAGACGAGAAGACCCUGUGGAGCUUCAGGCAAACAAGUAGCCCCUGUAAAGACUAAUCUUAAUGAUAAGUAAAACAUUGGGGUGACUAUUUCGCUGCCUUUGGUUGGGGCGACCGCGGGGCAUAAAAAACCCCCAUGAGGAAUUGGGACAACCCCCCUCAAACCGAGAGCACUAGCUCGAAAUAACAGAAUAUCUGACCUAACUGACCCGGCAAAGCCGAUCAACAGAACCAGUUACCCCAGGGAUAACAGCGCAAUCCUUUCCGAGAGUCCUUAUCGACGACAGGGUUUACGACCUCGAUGUUGGAUCAGGAUAUCCUAAUGGUGCAACCGCUAUUAAGGGUUCGUUUGUUCAACGAUUAAAAUCCUACGUGAUCUGAGUUCAGACCGGAGUAAUCCAGGUCAGUUUCUAUCUAUGUAAUGUUCUUUUCUAGUACGAAAGGACCGAAAAGACAAGGCCAAUACUAAGAGCAAGCCUUACCACCCACCUAAUGCAAACACCUUAAAUAGGUAAGGGGGCAUAUAUCUCUUCCCGUAAAGAACGGCAU